CCCAAUUGUUUGUGCAGUUCACGUCUGCAGACAUUUGCUCAUCUCCCGUCAGAACAGGAUCUGCACACGUGUUCACAUUUUCUAUUCCACAUUUCUAUUGUAGCGUACUGUAUGUAUGGAGCAUAAUAUUUUUGUGUAUAUUCUUUAUCAUCGAGGACACGUGAGCAUAGCUCUGUUCUGCCCUGCCCUGCCCCCUUGUGGAGCUCAAAAGAAACCAGAAACAUUAUUUGCCAAUAUCAUAACUGGAGCUGGACAUCUUUGGAGCUGAAGAAUGAGGACAGGUUUUGUAUGCUAACGUACACUCCUUAACAGUUGUACUGGAUGAAAACACAGCAAGAAAACACAUAUGCCAAUAUGUAAUAUUCAUCUAUUUUAUUGCAGUACUGGUAGUUGGUUCAACAACUUGUUUUACUAGAGGACAAAAAACUGAAUAUGCAUAACCCAUAUUUAAUAUCCAUGCAGUGACUGAACAACAACUGCAUUUCCACCCCCAUCUCUAAGGCAUAGUAUCAUGGCUGGUCAUGGCUGUCAGGUCAGUCAGUCACCUAUUGCUGCAGAUGUGCUCAAUAAUGCUUGAGCAUGUGAUACUCCUCAAAGCAUGGUGAAAUACAUAGAGGUGUAUCACAAGCUAGACACAUGUAUUUUGUCAUCUUCCUCUGCUUACUUCUCCUGGUGCCAGACAGGCAGACUUUGCAAUGCCUCUGUGUGUGACUACCUUGAGAAGCAGUUUGAGGGACUUUGCAGGGAAAAUGUCGUGCAGUGAGGCGUAUGGGAUUGUCUACAGCAGGACGACCCCCAGUGGAUGGGCGCCGAGGGGUGUGGUGCUCCUCCAGCAGCUCUCUCAUGAGGUUCUCUCUGUAUUUUUGGUGGUCCACCUUCCCUGUGGCCGACAUGGUUGCUGUAUGGACAGUGGAGAGGACAUGGACGUCUUGCUUGUCAUGCCACUUUACUGCCAGCUGUUGACCGUUCUCCUGGAAUUCCACCUCCCCUCUCUGCAUCUUCCCGC
This is a long non-coding RNA of Oncorhynchus keta (chum salmon), 1006 nucleotides long. RefSeq lists it as uncharacterized. The transcript is spliced from 4 exons. Lineage: Eukaryota; Metazoa; Chordata; Actinopteri; Salmoniformes; Salmonidae. The record is from RefSeq and is a predicted model, not a curated record.